This 446-nucleotide ribosomal RNA is filed under the name uncultured bacterium. RNAcentral's name for it is "bacterial SSU rRNA". It matches the Rfam family "Bacterial small subunit ribosomal RNA", at positions 329 to 792 of the family's 1533-position model. The record is from RNAcentral.
UGCCAGACUCCUACGGGAGGCAGCAGUGGGGAAUAUUGCACAAUGGGGGAAACCCUGAUGCAGCGACGCCGCGUGAGCGAUGAAGUAUUUCGGUAUGUAAAGCUCUAUCAGCAGGGAAGAAAAUGACGGUACCUGACUAAGAAGCCCCGGCUAACUACGUGCCAGCAGCCGCGGUAAUACGUAGGGGGCAAGCGUUAUCCGGAUUUACUGGGUGUAAAGGGAGCGUAGACGGCUGUGCAAGCCAGAUGUGAAAGCCCGGGGCUCAACCCCGGGACUGCAUUUGGAACUGUGUAGCUGGAGUGUCGGAGAGGCAGGCGGAAUUCCUAGUGUAGCGGUGAAAUGCGUAGAUAUUAGGAGGAACACCAGUGGCGAAGGCGGCCUGCUGGACGAUGACUGACGUUGAGGCUCGAAAGCGUGGGGAGCAAACAGGAUUAGAUACCCGUGUA